GGAGAGAUCGCGAAGAGAGAGAGAGAUUUGGGGAGGAGAUGAGACGCAGCGAGGGUGGGCGGCAGCGGCGCGACGCAGCGCGACAAGGGUGGGCGGCGACGGGCUGGCUCGGGGCAGCGGCGCCGGUGGCGGAGUCGAGAGGGGAGAGAGAGAGUUGAGAGAGACAGUGAGGACGAACAAAACUAGGGCUUCUAGUUUUGGGGGUUAAUUUCUAAAUUUCCUAAAUUUUUUUCUUUUUUUCUUUUUUUUUCACUUUUAAUAUUCAAUUUAUGGUAUUUAGAUUUUUAAUUUAGAUUUUAUAUAAGUGUUAAUAAAAUAAAAAAAAUGUUAUGAAUUUUUUAUUUUUCAAAGUCUAUAUCUAGGAAUAAAUUCAAAUUUAGGAUAAAUAAUUUAUUUGUUAUUUUUUAA
Molecule: long non-coding RNA, 408 nt
Filed under: Salvia miltiorrhiza (redroot sage)
Lineage: Eukaryota; Viridiplantae; Streptophyta; Magnoliopsida; Lamiales; Lamiaceae
Description: long non-coding RNA (SMIL_LNC012538)
Source: RNAcentral